UACAGAAGUCUCAAGCGUUGUUCGGAUUCAUUGGGCGUAAAGGGUGCGUAGGCGGCGCGGUAAGUCGGGUGUGAAAUCUCGGAGCUUAACUCCGAAACUGCAUUCGAUACUGCCGUGCUUGAGGACUGGAGAGGAGACUGGAAUUUAGGGUGUAGCGGUGAAAUGCGUAGAUAUCGUAAGGAAGACCAGUGGCGAAGGCGGGUCUCUGGACAGUUCCUGACGCUGAGGCACGAAGGUCAGGGGAGCAAACGGG
This 253-nucleotide ribosomal RNA is filed under the name uncultured bacterium. RNAcentral's name for it is "partial 16S ribosomal RNA". It matches the Rfam family "Bacterial small subunit ribosomal RNA", at positions 524 to 776 of the family's 1533-position model. The record is from RNAcentral.